Chelonoidis abingdonii (Abingdon island giant tortoise) is the source of this 802-nucleotide non-coding RNA. Lineage: Eukaryota; Metazoa; Chordata; Testudines; Testudinidae. The record is from RefSeq and is a predicted model, not a curated record.
GAGCAGGGGGUGGGACUAGAUGCCUCCUGAGGGCUCUUCCAACCCUGCUAUUCUGUGAUUCUACGACUGUCCUGGACUCGCUGUGUGAUACUAAAUUCCUUCCCUUCUCUGUGCCCAGGGUAUGCUGGGUCUGCCGUUGCUGACAAGGUUCUGUCACCUCCCCGGGAGGAAACAGUCUGAGACUCAGCAGAUCACUGGAGCCACCUGCUCCUCAUUGAUCAGCCCCCAGCCACCCAGCCAGCCCAGAGGGGUGUGGCGGGGCUUCAGAUGGCCACUUUCUGGGGAAACUCAGGUCCCAGCAGGACUGGUACAAAAAUGGUACCAGGAAUCCCCGAUCUCUGUUCAAGGAGCCUGAUAGGCCAGGAUGGUGUCCCUGGAGGCAGCUGGCGGCUUCCUCAGGGAUAGUCACUCCAGGCUAGAACUGACCUUACUCUGAGAGUUAUCCCAGAAAAGGUACUGAAAGGUGCUUGGGUAGAGUCACUCCAGGGAGUACUGGCCAUGCUCAGGUAAAGUCACUGCAGGGGGGUACUGGGCAUGCUCGGGUAGAGCUACUCCAGGGAGGUACUGGGCACACUUGGGUAUAAUUACUCCAGGGGGGUACUAGGUACACUCGGGUAGAGUCACUCCUGGGGGUACUGGCCAUGCUCAGGUAAAGUCACUGCAGGGGGGUACUGGGCACGCUCGGGUAGAGUCACUCCUGGGGGUACUGGGCACGCUCGGGUAGAGUCACUCCUGGGGGUACUGGUGACGCUCAGGUAGAGUCACUCCAGGGGGUACUGGGCAUGCUCAGGGGGGGGUCACU